UUGGAGCAGCUCAGUCAUGCACGUACCCUUCUAGGGACCGCCUUGCCUGUAGUGGGCACGGUUUGGUGCACAACAAACGUGGAGCCACAGGGAUUUUGCGGUGAUGGGACUACCAGACACACUAUUGGGCUUUGAGACAACAGGCCCGUGCCCCUUUUUGGGGGGUGGCAUCCGGUUGCGGGUGUCGGCGUGUUGUUGCCUCACUUUGGUGGUGGGGUGUGGUGUUUGAUUUGUGAAUAGUGGUUGCCAGCCUCAGGAGGUGGGGUGUGGUGUUUGAUUUGUGAAUUGGCUUGCCACCCUUAGGAGGUGCCGUGUGGUGUUGAAUUUGUUGCCUGUAGUUUGCACCGUUUGGUGUAAAACAAACGUGGAGCCACAAGGGAUUUUGAGUUGACCCGACUACCAGACACGCUAUUGGGCUUUCACACGGGCUGUCCGUGCCCCUUUUUUCCGGGACACAUCCCGUUGCAGGUAUACACCUGUUGUUGCCUCACUUUUGUGGUGUGGUGCGGUGUUUGAUACUGCGACUAGGUCCUUUCUCACUUUGCCGGGGCUCUCAUCGUCAAUUACUGCGCUGGUGACGGACCCAAAUAUCAAAGCGACUUAUCAAGAUACUGCGGNGAAAAGGAGCCAAUCAUGAAUCACCGUCAUUAGACUUCUGNACAUCCUG
This 667-nucleotide unclassified non-coding RNA is filed under the name Mycolicibacterium fortuitum. Its description in RNAcentral is "partial 16S-23S ribosomal RNA intergenic spacer". Lineage: Bacteria; Bacillati; Actinomycetota; Actinomycetes; Mycobacteriales; Mycobacteriaceae. The record is from RNAcentral.